This is a long non-coding RNA of Chinchilla lanigera (long-tailed chinchilla), 541 nucleotides long. RefSeq lists it as uncharacterized. Lineage: Eukaryota; Metazoa; Chordata; Mammalia; Rodentia; Chinchillidae. The record is from RefSeq and is a predicted model, not a curated record. The transcript has 2 exons.
CAAAGCUUCAUGUCCUGGCUGGGGACAAAAGACAAAGACUCUGUGGCCUGUGGCAGGGAAGAAGGGUCCCCACCAGCACAAACACCACACCCUGUCUGACCCUCCUCCCUGUGCGGGCACCCUGUACUCCUGCCUAUAGGUGCGAGCUCAGGGUAAUCGAUACCAGCAGAACCAGGUGGGACCAACUAAGAGGCAAGAGGAUAAACAGGAUCACUCUGGAACACUGUUCUUCAUUCCUGUAACCACCAUGGACAAAAGGCCCCGAGAGGAGGAGGGGCCGGGGCCCAGGGAAGUGGCAAAGAGGGUGAAGUCCCAGAGGAGAACAGUGGCCUCUAUCGUGGCAGAAGCAUCCCGAGCAUCCAGGCCAGUCGGGAGCCAGGCUGGCCUCACACGCAGCCUCAAGGCAGCUCUUGCUGCCGAGAGACCAAAACAACUAAGAUCAAGGAUGGCAUGGUGAACUGCAGUUCACACGCCACUAAGAAUGCUACGAGACAAGUGGGCAAACUAUGGUAACCUGGCAGCAACAGGGAACCGUGCCUGG